Molecule: ribosomal RNA, 301 nt
Filed under: uncultured bacterium
Lineage: Bacteria
Description: partial 16S ribosomal RNA
Rfam family: Bacterial small subunit ribosomal RNA
Source: RNAcentral
CAGUAGCCGCGGGAAUACAGAGGGUGCGAGCGUUAAUCGGAUUUACUGGGCGUAAAGCGUGCGUAGGCGGCUAAUUGAGUCGGAUGUGAAAUCCCCGAGCUUAACUUGGGAAUUGCAUUCGAUACUGGUUAGCUAGAGUGUGGGAGAGGAUGGUAGAAUUCCAGGUGUAGCGGUGAAAUGCGUAGAGAUCUGGAGGAAUACCGAUGGCGAAGGCAGCCAUCUGGCCUAAUACUGACGCUGAGGUACGAAAGCAUGAGGAGCAAACAGGAUUAGAUACCCCAGUAGUCCCUGUCUCUUAUAC